UGAGUAUGAGUCGCCGAUGUUGGUGACGCGGAAUAAUGGUGUUUGUGUGUGUGCGUGGCCUAUUAGGUCGAGAGGUGGAGAUAUGGAUAUGAGUCGCCGAUAUUGGUGACGUGGAAUGAAGGUGGUUGUGUGUGUGUGUGUGUGGCCUCAUGAGGUCGGGAGAUGGGGGAAGAGCGUAUGAGUCGCCGAUGUUGGUGACGGGAGUUAAUGGAUGAUUGUUGGGUGGGUGUGGUUGCUUGGCCGUGCUAUUUCCUUGGAAUAGGACCUUGAUGAUUGGUGUAGGGAGGGGGUUAUGAGUUGUGUUGGGUCGGGUAGGAUAAAUGCAUAUAGACAUUUCUGGAAAUUCUUGUCACUGUAUAUUGCACUUACAACUUGAUUUUUAUCGUAUUGAGUUAUGUGAUCUCACUUCUCAUCAUUCACAGGUGGAGUAAGAACGGAAUUGGGAUCUGAGCGGCUGGUAACGGAGCCCCGUCGGUAGUGCCAUAGGGCACAAGUUUUGUUUGUGAUUUAAAGUAGUUUGAAAGGAUGGUUUAGUCUGGAUAUUGAACAUCUAGAAAUGUUUGAUAUUGUGUUACUAUGUGUUGUAGAGGUGGAGAUGUAUGUACAAUUGAUUUGGAACAAUGAAGGUGGACAAGUUUCUCUUGUGCAUGGUUGGAAUAAUAUGGGAUUUCGGUAUUGUGUUGUAUGAGUGCUUUAUCGUAUACCAUUAGAAAAAAAUAAAAAAAAUGGGGUGUUACAACGUGAAACACGUUGUGAACUCGGGAGAGCUCGGGAGGCAGUGCUAGUCUGUAAGCAGCGGUACCAAUCUUGUCUAAGAUUUCGAAGGGUCCAAUAUAUCGAGGGUUUAAUUUUCCCCUCCUGCCGAACCUACUAAUUCCCUUGAAAGGAGUGACCUUAAGAAACACUCGGUCGCCUUUUUCAAACGCUAGAUCUCUCCUCCGGGUGUCUGCAUAACUCUUCUGUCUACUCUGGGCUGUCUGAAUGUUCUUUCUGAUUUUAGCUAUCUUCGAAGUGGUCUCCUCUACCAACUCCGGACCGAACAAUCUUCUGUCGCCCACUUCCUCCCAACAAAUC
This 1074-nucleotide long non-coding RNA is filed under the name Carica papaya (papaya). RNAcentral describes it as "long non-coding RNA (CPAP_LNC014981)". The record is from RNAcentral. Lineage: Eukaryota; Viridiplantae; Streptophyta; Magnoliopsida; Brassicales; Caricaceae.